AAAUUGAAGAGUUUGAUCAUGGCUCAGAUUGAACGCUGGCGGCAGGCCUAACACAUGCAAGUCGAACGGUAACAGGAAGCAGCUUGCUGCUUCGCUGACGAGUGGCGGACGGGUGAGUAAUGUCUGGGAAACUGCCUGAUGGAGGGGGAUAACUACUGGAAACGGUGGCUAAUACCGCAUAACGUCGCAAGACCAAAGAGGGGGACCUUCGGGCCUCUUGCCAUCAGAUGUGCCCAGAUGGGAUUAGCUGGUUGGUGAGGUAACGGCUCACCAAGGCGACGAUCCCUAGCUGGUCUGAGAGGAUGACCAGCCACACUGGAACUGAGACACGGUCCAGACUCCUACGGGAGGCAGCAGUGGGGAAUAUUGCACAAUGGGCGCAAGCCUGAUGCAGCCAUGCCGCGUGUAUGAAGAAGGCCUUCGGGUUGUAAAGUACUUUCAGCGGGGAGGAAGGUGUUGUGGUUAAUAACCGCAGCAAUUGACGUUACCCGCAGAAGAAGCACCGGCUAACUCCGUGCCAGCAGCCGCGGUAAUACGGAGGGUGCAAGCGUUAAUCGGAAUUACUGGGCGUAAAGCGCACGCAGGCGGUCUGUCAAGUCGGAUGUGAAAUCCCCGGGCUCAACCUGGGAACUGCAUUCGAAACUGGCAGGCUUGAGUCUUGUAGAGGGGGGUAGAAUUCCAGGUGUAGCGGUGAAAUGCGUAGAGAUCUGGAGGAAUACCG
RNAcentral lists this ribosomal RNA (721 nucleotides) under Salmonella enterica. RNAcentral's name for it is "bacterial SSU rRNA". It matches the Rfam family "Bacterial small subunit ribosomal RNA", at positions 1 to 711 of the family's 1533-position model. The record is from RNAcentral. Lineage: Bacteria; Pseudomonadati; Pseudomonadota; Gammaproteobacteria; Enterobacterales; Enterobacteriaceae.